Long non-coding RNA from Oncorhynchus tshawytscha (Chinook salmon), 1252 nucleotides. Lineage: Eukaryota; Metazoa; Chordata; Actinopteri; Salmoniformes; Salmonidae. The record is from Ensembl.
GUGCUUUUUACACAAUGCUUUUCAGGGAGGAAGCCCUUUACAGUUGUGCAACAAAUACAGUACUAGAACAGACUGAUGGUUUAAGGUAGAUACGAAGAGGCAGGGACAGACUGAUGGUUUAAAGUAGAUAAGAGGAGGCAGGAACAGACUGAGGGUUUAAGGUAGAUACGAAGAGGCAGGGACAGACUGAUGGUUUAAGGUAGAUAAGAAGAGGCAGGGACAGACUGAGGGUUUAAGGUAGAUAAGAAGAGGCAGGGACAGACUGAGGGUUUAAGGUAGAUAAGAGGAGGCAGGGACAGACUGAGGGUUUAAGGUAGAUAAGAGGAACAUAGUAGAAAAAAAGAUCAACCUUUUUCCUCCUUGGACAGGAAGUCCACCUCGCCCUCUCCGGCCAGUACUUCCUGGUACAUGUCCAAUCCCUGGUUCAGCAAGGCGUCCAUGGCCAAUCUGGUGCUCUCGUUGUGGCUGAGGUCAACGUCACCCGACACCAGUGACACAGAUGGGUUUUUCAUCUCCUGUACACGCCGCCUCACCUUUCCCACUGGCUUGGACUUCAGGUACCACUGAACAGACAGGCCGUUGCUCUGCAGGUUCAUAAUGAAGCUGUACAAGGCUAAUCAACAUGUAUUACCUGUCGUUACCUACUGCUGCUACUGAGUGAAAAACCCUUGUGGAGACACAGACAGGGAUGGAGUAGCAGCCGUGAGGUUUCUGAGCCCGGCCCCCCUCAAUCAAUUGUACAGUUGGCUACACCCAUAGAAGUAGAAUUACAUUGACUUGAAUGGGGAUGCCCGGUCUAGUAUUGUUAUUUCUAUGAGGACAUACCACCUGUGGGUUGCAGUGUGCUGGGGGGGACAGGUGAGCUGUUAUGGGAGUGAGAGCGUGACAGAGACCUGCUGUUUAAAGCACUCCCUCCCUUGGUGGGGGAGAGAAGUCUAGUUGAUUGACAGAGGUGAACAUGACUGUCUGAUCAGCUCAGUGGAGGCUGAUAACACCUGACUGCAUUCUUCACAGACUUGUCACUGCAAUGUGAGUCUUAUCACUCUCUCUCACUGUGUCGAAAGUGUUCCACAGCGAUGCUGGCCCAUGUUGACUCCAAUGCUUCCCACAGUUGUCAAGUUGGCUGGGUGUUGAAACCGUUGAGCGUGAAAAAACGCAGCAGCGUUGCAGUUCUUGACAUAGUCAAACUGGAGGCGCUUGACACCUACUGCCAUACCCCGUUCAUUCACCCUCUGAAUGUUACACAUACACA